CUCAGUUCGGAUUGAAGGCUGAAAUUCGCCUUCAUGAAGCCGGAAUUGCUAGUAAUGGCAGGUCAGCAUACUGCCGUGAAUACGUUCCCGGGCCUUGUACACACCGCCCGUCACACCAUGAGAGUUGGGAAUACCCGAAGCCUGUGAGCUAACGAAAGAGGCAGCAGUCGAAGGUAGAAUCAAUGAUUGGGGUGAAGUCGUAACAAGGUACC
Molecule: ribosomal RNA, 212 nt
Filed under: uncultured bacterium
Lineage: Bacteria
Description: partial 16S ribosomal RNA
Rfam family: Bacterial small subunit ribosomal RNA
Source: RNAcentral